This is a long non-coding RNA of Nerophis ophidion (straightnose pipefish), 541 nucleotides long. RefSeq lists it as uncharacterized. The record is from RefSeq and is a predicted model, not a curated record. The transcript is spliced from 4 exons. NCBI's taxonomy places the organism in Eukaryota, Metazoa, Chordata, Actinopteri, Syngnathiformes, Syngnathidae.
UGGUAGAGUGGGCAUGUGCACACUCUCAAGACUACAUCACAGAGGCUGACUUCCAAGUUUGUGUGUUCUAGGCUGGUUGCCAUGGUUACAACAAGAAAGUGUACCUAAAUAAUCAGUUUGUGUGCAUGAGGUCAUGCUGCUAAUCCGUGUUGCAUUCAAGGACACCGCUCACAGCCAGUUGAUCAGUGUGACCGACUUCUCAUGUCGUGCGGGUUCCAAGGACCACCAAGGAAUGACAUUCUUGCGAGCAGGAGGCCUCGCUCUCCCAGCAGAUGAAGAAUGGACUACAUUGAUUUGUCCAACAGAACCACAGACAGAACUUUCUUGUUGAUUUAAACAGACUCCCUGACGCAUCUGUGUCACAUGACCAGAGGAGCAUGCUGCAGUGGACUACACAACAACAACAACAACAACAAGGCAGGUUGCACAGCAGCAAACCAUUUCUGCUCGGAAUACGACAACAUUGCUGCUUUCACCAAACAUCAUGUUUUCCCUGACUCGGCUUGUAACUCAAAUGACUUCUAUGGAUGUCCAUCAUUAA